RNAcentral lists this ribosomal RNA (253 nucleotides) under uncultured bacterium. RNAcentral's name for it is "partial 16S ribosomal RNA". It matches the Rfam family "Bacterial small subunit ribosomal RNA", at positions 524 to 776 of the family's 1533-position model. The record is from RNAcentral.
UACAGAGGUCUCAAGCGUUGUUCGGAUUCAUUGGGCGUAAAGGGUGCGUAGGCGGCGCGGUAAGUCGGGUGUGAAAUCUCGGAGCUUAACUCCGAAACUGCAUUUGAUACUGGCGUGCUUGAGGACUGGAGAGGAGACUGGAAUUCACGGUGUAGCAGUGAAAUGCGUAGAUAUCGUGAGGAAGACCAGUGGCGAAGGCGGGUCUCUGGACAGUUCCUGACACUGAGGCACGAAGGCCAGGGGAGCAAACGGG